UCAAGUUAUUAAGGGUGCAGGGCGGAUGCCUUGGCACUAGGAGCCGAUGAAGGACGUGAUAAGCUGCGAUAAGCUUCGGGGAGUUGCACGUAAACUUUGAUCCGAAGAUUUCCGAAUGAGGAAACUCACUUAGAGUAAUGUCUAAGUAUCAUUAAGUGAAUACAUAGCUUAAUGAGGGGAACUCAGGGAACUGAAACAUCUAAGUACCUGAAGGAAGAGAAAGAAAUUCGAUUCCGUAAGUAGCGGCGAGCGAACGCGGAUUAGCCCAAACCAAUAAAGUUUUCUUUAUUGGGGUUGCGGACAUAUCAUAACGAAGAGGUAUCGUAAUUGAAGAGGUUUGGAAAGACCCACCACAGAAGGUAAUAGUCCUGUAUGUUAAACGAGAAGACUUCAGAUAUGAUCCAGAGUACCACGGGACACGUGAAACCCUGUGGGAAGCAGGAGGGACCACCCUCCAAGGCUAAAUACUACCUAGUGACCGAUAGCGUAUAGUACCGUGAGGGAAAGGUGAAAAGAACCCCGGGAGGGGAGUGAAAUAGAACCUGAAACCCUGCACUUACAAGCUGUGGAAGCACAUUUCUUGUGUGACCGCGUACUUUUUGUAGAACGGGCCAACGAGUUACGUUAAGUAGCAAGGUUAAGCACUUAAGGUGUGGAGCCGUAGCGAAAGCGAGUUUUAACUGAGCGUUCAGUUACUUGACGUAGACCCGAAACCGGGCGACCUACCCAUGAGCAGGAUGAAGCGAAAGUAAAAUUUCGUGGAGGUCCGAACCCACGAGCGUUGAAAAGCUCGGGGAUGACUUGUGGGUAGCGGUGAAAUUCCAAUCGAGCCCGGAGAUAGCUGGUUCUCCCCGAAAUAGCUUUAGGGCUAGCCUCAAGGUGAGAGAUACGGAGGUAGAGCACUGAAUGUCCUAGGGGGUAUUGCACCUACCGAAGACUAUCAAACUCCGAAUGCCGUCAUCUUAUACUUGGGAGUCAGACUGUGGGUGAUAAGAUUCAUAGUCGAAAGGGCAACAGCCCAGAUCGUCAGCUAAGGUCCCUAAAUGUAAGUUAAGUGGUAAAGGAUGUGGGAUUGCACAGACAACCAGGAUGUUGGCUUAGAAGCAGCCACUCAUUCAAAGAGUGCGUAAUAGCUCACUGGUCGAGUGAUCCUGCGCCGAAGAUUUCCGGGGCUAAAACUUACUACCGAAGCUACGGCAUCAGUAAUGAUGGGUAGGGGAGCUUCCCAUACGGGUUGAAGCAUGACCGUAAGGACAUGUGGACAGUAUGGGAGUGAGAAUGUUGGCAUGAGUAGCGAGAUGUGGGUGAGAAUCCCACAGGCCGUAAACCCAAGGUUUCCAGGGGAAGGUUCGUCCGCCCUGGGUUAGUCGGGACCUAAGCUGAGGCCGAAAGGCGUAGGUGAUGGACAACAGGUUGAUAUUCCUGUACUACCGAUAACCGUUUGAGAGAAGGGAUGACACAGUAGGAUAAGCUAAGCACACUGUUGGUUAUGUGUGCCCAAGCAUUGAGGCAGUCAAAGUAGGCAAAUCCGCUUUGAUAAUGCUGGGAUGUGAUGGGGAGCGAAAUUUAGUAGCGAAGUAGCUGAUUUCACACUGUCAAGAAAAGUCUCUAUCGAGGUUAAAGGUACCCGUACCGCAAACCGACACAGGUGGGUGAGGAGAGUAUCCUAAGGCCAGCGAGAGAACUGUUGUUAAGGAACUCGGCAAAAUGACCCCGUAACUUAGGGAUAAGGGGUGCCACCAUCAGGUGGCCGCAGAGAAUAGGCCCAAGCGACUGUUUACCAAAAACAUAGGUUUCUGCUAAGUCGCAAGACGAUGUAUAGGAGCUGACGCCUGCCCGGUGCUGGAAGGUUAAGGGGAUCUGUUAGAGCAAUCGAAGCAGUGAACUUAAGCCCCAGUAAACGGCGGCCGUAACUAUAACGGUCCUAAGGUAGCGAAAUUCCUUGUCGGGUAAGUUCCGACCCGCACGAAAGGCGUAACGAUUUGGGCACUGUCUCAACAACAGACUCGGUGAAAUUGUAAUUCCGGUGAAGAUGCCGGAUACCUGCGACAGGACGGAAAGACCCCAUGGAGCUUUACUGUAGCUUGACAUUGGGUCUUGGUACUACAUGUACAGGAUAGGUGGGAGGCUUUGAAACCAGGACGCCAGUUUUGGCGGAGCCAUCCUUGGGAUACCACCCUUGUAGUACUGGGACUCUAACCAUAGGCCAUGAAUCUGGUCUUGGGACACUGUCAGGUGGGCAGUUUGACUGGGGCGGUCGCCUCCCAAAAGGUAACGGAGGCGCUCAAAGGUUCUCUCAGUACGGUCGGAAAUCGUACGUAGAGUGUAAAGGCAAAAGAGAGCUUGAUUGCAAGACAUACAGGUCGAGCAAGGAUGAAAAUCGGACUUAGUGAUCCGGUGGUUCUGCGUGGAAGGGCCAUCGCUCAACGGAUAAAAGCUACCCUGGGGAUAACAGGCUUAUCUCCCCCAAGAGUCCACAUCGACGGGGAGGUUUGGCACCUCGAUGUCGGCUCAUCACAUCCUGGGGCUGUAGUAGGUCCCAAGGGUUGGGCUGUUCGCCCAUUAAAGUGGUACGCGAGCUGGGUUCAGAACGUCGUGAGACAGUUCGGUCCCUAUCCGUCGCAGGCGUAGGAAAUUUGAGAAGACCUGUCCUUAGUACGAGAGGACCGGGAUGGACGUACCUCUGGUGUACCAGUUGUUCUGCCAAGGGCAUGGCUGGGUAGCUAUGUACGGAAUGGAUAAGCGCUGAAAGCAUCUAAGCGCGAAGCCAACUUCAAGAUAAGAUUUCCCACAGUAAGGGUAAGACCCCAGAAAGACUAUCUGGUUGAUAGGUCGAAGGUGUAAGUGCAGCAAUGUAUUUAGCUUAUCGAUACUAAUAGGUCGAGGACUUGACCAA
Molecule: ribosomal RNA, 2896 nt
Filed under: Clostridioides difficile
Lineage: Bacteria; Bacillati; Bacillota; Clostridia; Peptostreptococcales; Peptostreptococcaceae
Description: 23S ribosomal RNA
Rfam family: Bacterial large subunit ribosomal RNA
Source: RNAcentral